This 230-nucleotide long non-coding RNA is filed under the name Nicotiana benthamiana. RNAcentral's name for it is "long non-coding RNA (NBEN_LNC039432)". The record is from RNAcentral. Lineage: Eukaryota; Viridiplantae; Streptophyta; Magnoliopsida; Solanales; Solanaceae.
AAGUAUUUGAAAGGAAGAUCACCUUUAACAUAACCAAGAAGAUUGAGGAUAUGAUGUUGAUUUUCAAUUGCAACCCCCCCAAAAUACACUGCACUUUUAUUUAGGUUAGCCUUCAGCCCAGUAGCAGCUAGGAAUUGAGAGAAGAAAUGAAACAUAGCACUUACUUAUUGAGUUUCCCCUUUGACAAAUAAUAACAAAUCAUCUGCAAAGCUCAAAUGAGUGAUUCCCAN